Molecule: long non-coding RNA, 910 nt
Filed under: Capra hircus (goat)
Lineage: Eukaryota; Metazoa; Chordata; Mammalia; Artiodactyla; Bovidae
Description: lncRNA (ENSCHIG00010014111.1)
Source: RNAcentral
GUCAUAACUUUCGUUCCAAGGAAUAAGCGUCUUUUAAUUUCAUGGCUGCAGUCACCACCUUUAGUAAUUUUCAAGCCCCCCAAAAUAGAGUCAACCACUGUUUCCACUGUUUCCCCAUCUAUAUAAUUGUCAAUAUGUAUAUGUAUAUUCACCUAUAUAGUGGUUAAGAAUUCAAAGACAUUUCCAAAAAACAUUAAUAGUUCAGAUUUAUAAAAUAAUUUUAAAAAGCUAUACUGAGCUAAUUUUAAAUUCAAAUUGUACUUUGGUUUAUAAGUGAUUUUUUUAAGGAUAUGAAUUUCGAUUUUAAUUUUAACCUAGAAAAAAGUUCAUACCAUCAUGGAAAUUCAUGUCAUAUGAAUAUUGUGCUGAAGUGUUUCAGAAACUACACGAACAUGGUGAAGCCAGGAAACUGUGGGCCACAGAGGCAGAGAUGGAUUCACCCAUUGACUUACGUGCUAAGGCCCCAAAAACCAAUCGAACCUGAUUUUUCCAAGAUUUAUUGAGAUAUACUUGGUAUACAAAAAUUAUGAUUAAUAUAUAAUUUGCCAAGUUUAGAUAUAUGUAUGCACUUGUGUUACCAUUCCCGUAACCAAGGUAACAAAUCUAUCUACCUCUAAAAAUUUCCAGUGUCCUCUGCAUUUCUUUUUCCUUCAAUUUUAUUGUUGGUAGUGUUUCUCUCUCUCUCUCUCUCUUUGAUGGUAAGAACAAUUAAUAUGAGAUCUACCCUCUUAAGUGCACAAUAUUUUAUUUAUAAUUAUAGGUACUAGCUUGUACAGCAGAUCUCUGGCAUUUACUCAUUUCAUCUAACUUUAUUCUAUCUUACAACCUUAUUACUUUUUGGAUAGGAUUUUGUAUUUAAGUUCAGUUCAGUUCAGUUCAGUCACUCAGUCGUGUCCAAGUCUUUGCAACC